ACGUAGGAGGCGAGCGUUAUCCGGAUUUACUGGGCGUAAAGCGCGUGUAGGCGGUUUCAUAAGUCGUGCGUGAAAGCUCCCUGGCUCAACCGGGAGAGGUCGUGCGAUACUGCGAAACUUGAGUCAGACAGAGGCAAGUAGAAUUCCGGGUGUAGUGGUGAAAUGCGUAGAUAUCCGGAGGAAUACCAGUGGCGAAGGCGACUUGCUGGGUCUGUACUGACGCUCAGACGCGAAAGCAUGGGGAGCGAACGGGA
RNAcentral lists this ribosomal RNA (254 nucleotides) under uncultured prokaryote. RNAcentral describes it as "partial 16S ribosomal RNA". It matches the Rfam family "Bacterial small subunit ribosomal RNA", at positions 525 to 777 of the family's 1533-position model. The record is from RNAcentral.